Molecule: ribosomal RNA, 761 nt
Filed under: Pseudoalteromonas sp.
Lineage: Bacteria; Pseudomonadati; Pseudomonadota; Gammaproteobacteria; Alteromonadales; Pseudoalteromonadaceae
Description: bacterial SSU rRNA
Rfam family: Bacterial small subunit ribosomal RNA
Source: RNAcentral
CNUAAUGCAGUCGAGCGGUACAGAAAGUAGCUUGCUACUUUGCUGACGAGCGGCGGACGGGUGAGUAAUGCUUGGGAACAUGCCUUGAGGUGGGGGACAACAGUUGGAAACGACUGCUAAUACCGCAUAAUGUCUACGGACCAAAGGGGGCUUCGGCUCUCGCCUUUAGAUUGGCCCAAGUGGGAUUAGCUAGUUGGUGAGGUAAUGGCUCACCAAGGCGACGAUCCCUAGCUGGUUUGAGAGGAUGAUCAGCCACACUGGGACUGAGACACGGCCCAGACUCCUACGGGAGGCAGCAGUGGGGAAUAUUGCACAAUGGGCGCAAGCCUGAUGCAGCCAUGCCGCGUGUGUGAAGAAGGCCUUCGGGUUGUAAAGCACUUUCAGUCAGGAGGAAAGGUUAACNGUUAAUACCCGUUAGCUGUGACGUUACUGACAGAAGAAGCACCGGCUAACUCCGUGCCAGCAGCCGCGGUAAUACGGAGGGUGCGAGCGUUAAUCGGAAUUACUGGGCGUAAAGCGUACGCAGGCGGUUUGUUAAGCGAGAUGUGAAAGCCCCGGGCUCAACCUGGGAACUGCAUUUCGAACUGGCAAACUAGAGUGUGAUAGAGGGUGGUAGAAUUUCAGGUGUAGCGGUGAAAUGCGUANAGAUCUGAANGAAUACCGAUGGCGAANGCAGCCACCUGGGUCAACACUGACGCUCAUGUACGAAAGCGUGGGGAGCAAACGGGAUUAGAUACCCCGGUAGUCCACGCCGUAAACGA